This is a long non-coding RNA of Alosa alosa (allis shad), 354 nucleotides long. RefSeq lists it as uncharacterized. Lineage: Eukaryota; Metazoa; Chordata; Actinopteri; Clupeiformes; Clupeidae. The transcript is spliced from 4 exons. The record is from RefSeq and is a predicted model, not a curated record.
AGAUACCUUAAAGAACAUGGAUUGAAUAAUGAAGUUAUCCAAAUGCAAAUGGAUCAUAUCAGACUCAAAUUUGAGCAAAAACAGGAUUUAAUCAGAAGUUAUGGAAAACACAUCCAGUCAUGAUAGAGUUGUUCUGCCAAAUGGUUCAACACAUAGAGACCACUGUGACCACUACAUCCCGCCUGCAGGAGAAAUUGCAAUCUCUUGGCAAGGAAUGUAUUCUGGCUUCAAAGUUGGAUGUGACUAAGGCUGAUAAUGAGAGCUAUGGUCUUAAGGACCUGGUUAAAUCCAGUGGCUCUCAUCUGGAGAGAGUUGUUGGUCAACCUAAGAAGGUAACCAUGGACCUGAGUAAGG